GUGAAAAAAUUAGAGUGUUCAAAGCAGGCAGAUCCAAUUUUCUGCCACCGAAUACAUUAGCAUGGGAUAAUGGAAUAGGACCCUGUCCUCCUAUUUUCAGUUGGUUUUGGCAGCGCGAGGACUAGGGUAAUGAUUAAUAGGGAUAGUUGGGGGCAUUAAUAUUUAAUUGUCAGAGGUGAAAUUCUUGGAUUUAUGAAAGAUUAACUUCUGCGAAAGCAUCUGCCAAGGAUGUUUUCAUUAAUCAAGAACGAAAGUUAGGGGAUCGAAGACGAUCAGAUACCGUCGUAGUCUUAACCAUAAACGAUGCCGACCAGCGAUUAGGAGACGUUGAAUACAAAACACCACCAUCGGUUGCGGUCGUCCUUGGCGUCUCGGUUUCGGCCGGGGCGCGGGGAUGGCUUAGCCCGGUGGCACCGGUGAAUGACUCCC
RNAcentral lists this ribosomal RNA (429 nucleotides) under Acanthamoeba sp. Had_1293. RNAcentral describes it as "SSU rRNA". The stretch from base 1 to 380 matches the Rfam family "Eukaryotic small subunit ribosomal RNA", at positions 757 to 1116 of the family's 1831-position model. Lineage: Eukaryota; Discosea; Longamoebia; Acanthamoebidae. The record is from RNAcentral.